UACGAAGGGGGCUAGCGUUGUUCGGAUUUACUGGGCGUAAAGCGCACGUAGGCGGAUCUUUAAGUCAGAGGUGAAAUCCCAAGGCUCAACCUUGGAACUUCCUUUGAUACUGGGGAUCUUGAGUCCGGGAGAGGUGAGUGGAACUGCGAGUGUAGAGGUGAAAUUCGUAGAUAUUCGCAAGAACACCAGUGGCGAAGGCGGCUCACUGGCCCGGUACUGACGCUGAGGUGCGAAAGCGUGGGGAGCGAACAGG
RNAcentral lists this ribosomal RNA (253 nucleotides) under uncultured bacterium. Its description in RNAcentral is "partial 16S ribosomal RNA". It matches the Rfam family "Bacterial small subunit ribosomal RNA", at positions 524 to 776 of the family's 1533-position model. The record is from RNAcentral.